AUGGAGACGCGUCCACACAGUUACCACGAGCAGCAGCGUUUGGUGUUUGCUGCUUGAAGCAGUUGGAAAACUUUGACUUUAAGCACUUUUGGUUAUUUAUACAGUGCUAUAUUUAACUUCACACGGUGGAAGACGCCGUCAGAGGAAGUAUUUCAGAGGUGAGAGUGAUAUUUUGCUGGUUUAUUUGAAACUCAGCUCAGACAGUCGAAGUAAGACGCCGGUUGUUUUCAAAACAAACGGUUGUUAACGUUACGUUACUUGAGAGUUUAGCACUAACGUGACUUAUUUAACUUAUUUGGUGUCUUAUUUUGAAUGUGUUUCAGGAGAACUAGAGCAAUUUAACUUUUCUAACAGCUUAAUUGAUAUAAAAUAACCCUAUCAGACUACAUCAAUCCGUAAAUGAAGAAUGAAGAUAGAUGAUAAUCUCACAGGAUCAGAUUUAGAUCUUUAGAAGCUUAUAAUUGUAUUCAAUAAAGAUCCCGAAUUCCUGAAGUCCUUUAUAAUCAGCCUGUUACCUCCCACAGUCUUGCCUUUGACAUUUUAUCUGAUGCCGUGUGGCUCACAGACUUAUUUUAACUGAUCAAACUCACCUGCUGCCUUCCAAAUUUCAUCUGAUCUAACGGGAUCUGCAGUUUUAAAUGUUUUCCAUUACUCACAGACUCCCUGUCUUACCUUUUCAUGCUUUUGUAUUGCCUCCAAACUGUCUGCUUUAUUAUACAGCACUCAACAAAACUGACAAGUUGGGAACUGAAUCAAAGCUUUAAUAAAGAAGGAGGGUCUGCUGGUGUUGACAACUAAAUGUGGAAAUGGAGGGGGAGACAUCAGCUUGGAAAAGAUAAAUAGUUUAUGAGCUAGAUAUUUUUGCUCUCGCUUCCUGACUGAGGCAGAUCCAGCGAGGCAGAUUUAUCCAUAUCGUCUGUCUAGGAAGAGACUAUGAGAGAACGCAAUAUUGUGGUGCUUGGAGACUGGUAGCACGCCUACUGUAUGUUAAAAGGUAAGCGUGCCCACAGAGGUAUCGGUCUCUCAGGAUGGCUGACCGAGGGACCCCCCAGCCUGCCCGUUCAUCUUCCAGCAUGUCCAUGCAGUCCGAUUCAGGGAAAGGUCACUCCAAGAGCAAACUCAUUUCCUCCACACCGGUCCCCAGUGAAGUCUCUCUAGAAGUGCCAGAGGUUGCAGGUAUGAAAUAGAAACAAGCUGCUUCGUGUUGUUAGUGUUUGCCUCCCACUUGUAAAUACUGUACAAGCAGCUCUCUGAUCUGCCAGUUAUUUACAUUAUGCUAAAAAAUGCAUCGAGUUUGAUGUAAUUAUGUAUUUAAAAUGGUGCCAGCAUAACAAUAUAGUGGUUCAGAGUUAUUAAAUAUUGAAAACUGUGACAGAAAGCUCCUUUACUGCCACUCAACACUAACAUCUAAUGCACUCACACUUAUUUUCCUUUUUU
Molecule: long non-coding RNA, 1437 nt
Organism: Cyprinus carpio (common carp)
Lineage: Eukaryota; Metazoa; Chordata; Actinopteri; Cypriniformes; Cyprinidae
Source: Ensembl